RNAcentral lists this ribosomal RNA (505 nucleotides) under uncultured bacterium. RNAcentral describes it as "partial 16S ribosomal RNA". It matches the Rfam family "Bacterial small subunit ribosomal RNA", at positions 28 to 507 of the family's 1533-position model. The record is from RNAcentral.
GACGAACGCUGGCGGCGUGCCUAAUACAUGCAAGUAGAACGCACAGUUUAUACCGUAGCUUGCUACACCAUAGACUGUGAGUUGCGAACGGGUGAGUAACGCGUAGGUAACCUGCCUGGUAGCGGGGGAUAACUAUUGGAAACGAUAGCUAAUACCGCAUAAUAUUGAUUAUUGCAUGAUAUUUGAUUGAAAGAUGCUAUUGCAUCACUACCAGAUGGACCUGCGUUGUAUUAGCUAGUAGGUGAGGUAACGGCUCACCUAGGCGACGAUACAUAGCCGACCUGAGAGGGUGAUCGGCCACACUGGGACUGAGACACGGCCCAGACUCCUACGGGAGGCAGCAGUAGGGAAUCUUCGGCAAUGGACGAAAGUCUGACCGAGCAACGCCGCGGGAGUGCAGAAGGGUUUCGGAUCGUAAAGCUCGGUUGUAAGAGAAGAACGGGUGUGAGAGUGGAAAGUUCACACUGUGACGGUAUCUUAACAGAAAGGGACGGCUAACUACGUG